CCGCCGGGGGCAGUGGAGCAGACCCGCGCCAGCCGGGAGGAGGGGGUUGCAUCCCUCGGGUUGUGGCGGCGCGAACCGAAUCCGGACGGAGGCAGAUGUCGAGUGCUGGAACCUAGGCUGGGGGAUGCACGCUCCGGGCGCCCGGCGAGCCCUCUCCUCUUCGGCAAAGAGAAUGCUGCUCAGAAGUGCUCGUGUCCCCUCGCUGUAGGAGAGAUGACCAAACAGGUGGGCUCGCCGGGGAAAAGACUGCGUUAAGCUGUCGACUUGAAGUAAAAAGACCUGUUAUCCAUUAAGUGUCCCUUUCAUGGAUGAAGAG
This is a long non-coding RNA of Lynx canadensis (Canada lynx), 316 nucleotides long. RefSeq lists it as uncharacterized. NCBI's taxonomy places the organism in Eukaryota, Metazoa, Chordata, Mammalia, Carnivora, Felidae. The record is from RefSeq and is a predicted model, not a curated record. The transcript has 2 exons.